RNAcentral lists this ribosomal RNA (485 nucleotides) under uncultured bacterium. RNAcentral's name for it is "bacterial SSU rRNA". It matches the Rfam family "Bacterial small subunit ribosomal RNA", at positions 29 to 508 of the family's 1533-position model. The record is from RNAcentral.
AUUGAACGCUGGCGGCAGGCCUAACACAUGCAAGUCGAGCGGUAGAGAGAAGCUUGCUUCUCUUGAGAGCGGCGGACGGGUGAGUAAUGCCUAGGAAUCUGCCUGGUAGUGGGGGAUAACGUUCGGAAACGGACGCUAAUACCGCAUACGUCCUACGGGAGAAAGCAGGGGACCUUCGGGCCUUGCGCUAUCAGAUGAGCCUAGGUCGGAUUAGCUAGUUGGUGAGGUAAUGGCUCACCAAGGCGACGAUCAGUAGCCGGCCUGAGAGGGUGAUCGGCCACACUGGAACUGAGACACGGUCCAGACUCCUACGGGAGGCAGCAGUGGGGAAUAUUGCGCAAUGGGGGAAACCCUGACGCAGCAACGCCGCGUGGAGGAUGAAGGCCUUCGGGUCGUAAACUCCUGUCAGGUGGGAAGAAUAGGCUGCAGCUAACAACUGCAGCUGUUGACGGUACCACCAGAGGAAGCCCCGGCUAACUCCGUGC